UCCAAUAUUUACAAAAAGAGGAAAUUCUAUUACAAGAGAAAGCAUCAUAUUAGUCAAAAUUUGAUACAUAAUUUCAGUAAGUUAAGUCUGAGACUGAAAAGAUGGUGGUCUGAAAAACGAUGAACGUAGAAUAUAUAGCAACAUGCUUUUAAAAUGACUUCUUUUAUCAAAGCUUAACCUUGGUCUUCCUACUAGUCAUGACAUCUAGCCUUUGGCUGAAUGCUGAUGGAUGUUAACUUACGUACAAUUUCAACAUAUUUACUAAAUGGUUCUAACUAAAACAAUCAAAUAUUUUAAUUGUAAGUCUUCUAAGAUUUGUCAUACAACUGAAUACACUAAGUAAUGUCCAAAGAAACAGUGGAUCCUUACAUGUAGUUGCAAAAAUACAGUACCAGGUACAGCAAUUAAGUCUAGCACAUUUUGACUUUUAAGGUAAAAUCAGAAUUAUGGUUUUGUUCUUGAACAUAAAUGAAAGCUCUGAAUACAGAUUAUCUUCAUACUAUUUAUCUAGUGGAUUCUGGCCAAGUGAGUUUAUUUUACUAGUAUAUGAAUUCUUAGUACUUAGCAUAUACAAAUUAAUUGAAUGAGAAGAAAAUUUAUAAUCUUCAGCAUUAUGUAAACUUCUGAAAACA
RNAcentral lists this long non-coding RNA (632 nucleotides) under Bos taurus (domestic cattle). RNAcentral describes it as "long non-coding RNA NONBTAT006768". The record is from RNAcentral. Lineage: Eukaryota; Metazoa; Chordata; Mammalia; Artiodactyla; Bovidae.